Molecule: long non-coding RNA, 2316 nt
Organism: Sipha flava (yellow sugarcane aphid)
Lineage: Eukaryota; Metazoa; Arthropoda; Insecta; Hemiptera; Aphididae
Exons: 2
Source: RefSeq, a predicted model, not a curated record
UAUUCGAUUUUAAUUAAAAAUAAUUUGUUUUGUUUAAAUGUUGUCAUUUUUCUGUAUACUAAACCUACAGUGGUUAUAAAAUAUUAGUAUAUAACAAUACAUUAAAAAAAUAUUUGUUUAUGAGACCUAAUUCGCUGUUAUUAUUUAGCAUAGAAGUUUGAAAAAAGACGUCCAACAAAAACAUUUAACACUAAUCUGAUGUAGGUACACGGUAUAUUAUUUUCCUUUGCGUUGUCAUUUUAUCAAAAGUAAUUAAAUCUAAUAAUUACCGAAGUUUUUUUUUUUUUUAGAAUAACAUUCAAUUUGUAACGCAGAUAUGUCUUUACGCAAUUCCAAUAAACGUCAACGCUAUCAAACCCAAAGAACAAACAAAAAUUUUAAAGUACUAACGAGUUAAAUAUGAUUUAUAACGUAAGACAAGACAAAUUGAAAAAAUAAUAUGUAGUUUAAAAAAAAAUAUGUGUAUAAAUACAUCGACAAUAACCUAAACAAAUGUUUCCACAACAUUUUUCAUCACCAACUUAAAUACUGAAUCGACGACCACAAUAAAUUUUAAUCUUUAAAUAAUUGAGCCCCAAAAGUACAAUACAAAUUAUAAUUUUGCAAUUAUUUUUUUUCAACCGCGGAAGACAAACGGCCCUCGCGGUUACACAUUUCGAAUACGCGAAAACGGGUACAAUCACAAACCGGUUACAUUAAACUAGUUUUAAAAAGUUUCAACUACUUUAUCGUAUUAAAAGUGUUAUUGCUCAGUGAUUUCCUUCUUCAAAUACACGAAAGGCAAAAAAAACCUGAUCGAGAUUUUCCAAGGACUACAACGUGUAGGUACAACUGUAUAGGUAUACAAUAUAAAUCAACAGUAUUGUACAGUUGUUAAAUAAGUCGGAGUAUCCGUGAUGAUACGCCAACUAAAAAACUCAUGGUGAUUAAAGUAGUAUCGAGUGAACCCAUUUUACGGAGUAGUCCGUUUACUACUACAAAAAUUUUUUUUUUGUUUUGUUCGUUUUACUUUACAACUCUAUUAAACGUUAAAAUGUUUAAAUUUCUCAUUAUAUAUAUGUUUAUAGAUUAUCAUGUAUAACAAUUUUUAAUUUAUCUAAUCAAAUUUAGCCUAAAAGAUGCAGUUAUAAGCAAGAACCACAAUUUUUUUUCUGGGGCAGUACCAAUAAUCCCGGUUACAAGCAUGCUCUCUAGCAUCCUCUGGACUGUAACACCUAUCAUCCGGCAAGCUACGGGCCACAGCUACAUCAUAGAACACGCAAAUAAUAUCACAUUACGUGCGUAGGUUUGUACGUUACAGUAUGCAGGAUACCAUUAUAAUAUCGAAAUUCUACGACAGUCGAAGAGUCAACUGUUGAAAGAACACGAUCUUACGGUUAUAAAGGUGGUGUUGGGAAGGCUCGAAAAUGGCUGGUUAAGUAUAAUAUUGGCACGAAAAACACGUCAGCAGUAGCCAGAGGAAAAAUUAAUAGAAAACGAAAUUCAUGGUCACGCGACGGUCAAAAUACGCUUGUACUUAAUGUCACUGAAUAUAUUCAAAAGGUGAGCAGACCACUACAUUUUAUUACCGCUGUUGACAAGGAAAUUCGUUGGACCGAUGUAACCAAAACCACACAAUAGAUUAUUACGAUUAUAAAGAAUUAUUUAUUAGUACGAACCGAUAAAUGAAAACAACUUACACACACACUUCAAUAACAACAGCAGUGAAGAAUAUAAUGGAUAAAACAACUUUCUUUAUAUAUGAUUUUUAUGUUUUGAUAUGUUCAUAGAUAGGUUAUAAGUAUGUACAGGGAAUAGAAAAUUGCUCUCGGAGUAGAAUUAUAGAGAAAUCGACGAUCGAUCUUAGUAUAUAAUAUAUAUUUAUAUGUAUACAACACGUAGCUUGCCAUUGAUCGGGUUACGUGAUUUUUACAUUUUCCAAUAGUUUCUCGAUCAUUUUUUUUUAUGAUUAUUCUCUGAAGCGGCAUAAUUAGAUAAUAGGUUUACCGUAGACGGUUUAUAGCAAGUCGAGAUCGCAUUAUUACAAUAUUAUAUUGUUGUUGCGAUUGUUUUUGUUUUAUAACCCGACAAAAACAGUUGAUCCAUAAGUUCAAUGACAAGGUAUGGUUUAAAAUAAAAUUAUAGAUACGGUCAUACAGGUGCCAAUUGGCAAUUACUCGUGCGAAUAAUGAUGAGAAAUGUACGCGGCAUCACAAAAACAAACGCAUGGUAAAUACACGGCAACACGGACGAAAAACAACACCAUAAGCAACUUUAAGAAUUCUCGAGGAUAGUCUUGGAUACGUUUAGAAAAUCGUUCAAUAUUUACAAAAAAAA